GAUGAACGCUGGCGGCGUGCCUAAUACAUGCAAGUCGAGCGAACAGACGAGGAGCUUGCUCCUUUGACGUUAGCGGCGGACGGGUGAGUAACACGUGGAUAACCUACCUAUAAGACUGGGAUAACUUCGGGAAACCGGAGCUAAUACCGGAUAACAUGUUGAACCGCAUGGUUCAACAGUGAAAGACGGUCUUGCUGUCACUUAUAGAUGGAUCCGCGCCGCAUUAGCUAGUUGGUAAGGUAACGGCUUACCAAGGCAACGAUGCGUAGCCGACCUGAGAGGGUGAUCGGCCACACUGGAACUGAGACACGGUCCAGACUCCUACGGGAGACAGCAGUAGGGAAUCUUCCGCAAUGGGCGAAAGCCUGACGGAGCAACGCCGCGUGAGUGAAGAAGGUCUUCGGAUCGUAAAACUCUGUUAUUAGGGAAGAACAAAUGUGUAAGUAACUAUGCACGUCUUGACGGUACCUAAUCAGAAAGCCACGGCUAACUACGUG
Molecule: ribosomal RNA, 497 nt
Filed under: uncultured bacterium
Lineage: Bacteria
Description: partial 16S ribosomal RNA
Rfam family: Bacterial small subunit ribosomal RNA
Source: RNAcentral